Molecule: ribosomal RNA, 484 nt
Filed under: uncultured bacterium
Lineage: Bacteria
Description: partial 16S ribosomal RNA
Rfam family: Bacterial small subunit ribosomal RNA
Source: RNAcentral
AUUGAACGCUGGCGGCAGGCCUAACACAUGCAAGUCGAGCGGAUGAAGGGAGCUUGCUCCUGGAUUCAGCGGCGGACGGGUGAGUAAUGCCUAGGAAUCUGCCUGGUAGUGGGGGAUAACGUCCGGAAACGGGCGCUAAUACCGCAUACGUCCUGAGGGAGAAAGUGGGGGAUCUUCGGACCUCACGCUAUCAGAUGAGCCUAGGUCGGAUUAGCUAGUUGGUGGGGUAAAGGCCUACCAAGGCGACGAUCCGUAACUGGUCUGAGAGGAUGAUCAGUCACACUGGAACUGAGACACGGUCAAGACUCCUACGGGAGGCAGCAGUGGGGAAUAUUGGACAAUGGGCGAAAGCAUGAUCCAGCAAUGCCGCGUGUGUGAAGAAGGUCUUCGGAUUGUAAAGCACUUUAAGUUGGGAGGAAGGGCAGUAAGUUAAUACCUUGCUGUUUUGACGUUACCAACAGAAUAAGCACCGGCUAACUUCGUG